Molecule: long non-coding RNA, 2440 nt
Organism: Eucalyptus grandis
Lineage: Eukaryota; Viridiplantae; Streptophyta; Magnoliopsida; Myrtales; Myrtaceae
Exons: 2
Source: RefSeq, a predicted model, not a curated record
CGUCCGUGUCGCGCACUUGACCCUCCCCAAGUACCUGCUCUUAUAUUCGAAACAGGUUCAUCUCUUUCGCUUUCUUUCCCUCGAACUCGCCACGACAAUGUCAAUCAGCAACACCUCCAGCUCUAGACCCCCUCCAGUGAUCGGCAAGAUGGGCCCUUACGCUGUUUUCGUCAACCCCAGCGCCGACCCCGAAACCGGUCUGGCCGGUUCUUGAUUCGCCGGCGAAGGUCGUCCCUCCUCCGGUUCAGCCGCCUCCCCACCGCUUGCUUGGACGGCCACACGGCCCAUUGGCUUGGGUUGGACCAGUCGAGGUAUCAUUGGGCGUUGGAAAAUUAUUACGAUAACUGAAGAUCAGUAGUAAGUUUUACCAAGGUCUUAUUUUUAUCUGUUUAUAUUGCACCUUGAUUUGCUAUUUUGUGUUUUUUCAGCUUUGCUUUCACUCUUUCCCUUACUUUAUGUCAUGAUUCUUUGAAAAGUAGCCUUCUUUAAUGGUCUGCUUAUGGAGGAUUCUCAAUUAGUCAUGAAGUAUGAUGAGGUUGUUGGGGGUGUAAUUUUGUGUAGGCAGCUUAGGGGUGGUGGCCUGCACUUGAGUACUUUUUUAGUUGUGAGAUCAUUUUCACUAACUCUUUUGCAGUUUUGCUGCAUUUUCUCCUUUCAUUACAUCAAUUUGCUUUGGAUUUUGGUACGAUAGUAGUUGCUGCAGUAAACCUACUAAGUUGCUAAAUGUUUGGUGUAUACUAUCGCCAUUGCGGUUUUUGGUUGUAGAUCAAAUAAAGUAUUGGAGAAUUUGAGUUUCACUCAAUUUUUGGAGUGCUCCAUCUCGGCUCCAAUCUACUGGAACUUGAACAGUUUAAAAUUGUCAUCAAAGCCCUGGCCUUGUCAUGGCUUAGUUUCUCAGCUCAAGUCAAAAUAGAUUCAGCCCACCACCAGCGUUCUCUUGCAAAACGUGAAUACUGUUCUAUGGACUUUAUGUGUUCUACUGGUGGACGAGGAGUUUCUGUAGAUAGGGAGCAAACAGCAUCCCCAAAUAACUGCAAACCAAAUUAUUGGAGUACAUUUCAUUGGAGAUGCCCCAACUUCAGUGAUUUCUCAAUUAGGUUAUUAGACUUUGAAUUUAGUCAUCCAAUGCAAUAAUUUUUUUUUUCUUUGGCAAUACACGCACUUUGACUGGAAUUUGGCGAAUAUUCCAUGAAAUGCUAACGAGGCGGCCACAUGGUUGAUGCGGCAUCUAGAAAUUUUUCCACAUGUCCGCAAAGUCAGCAUCUCACCAGGAAUUGAAUGUAUUCCAGAUAGUUGACAAGCCACAUGUCUUGGUGAAGUGAUCUAGGCUUGAAUUCCUGCUAAAUGAAUGGUAAGAAAAUAGCCUCAUCUUGUCUGGGUGGAAAUUUUUCGUCUGCUCUUCCAAAAGUUCCUUAAUGUGGCAAUUUAUCUGGCAAUUCACUUGCCACGGUUUGCUAUUGGUUACACAAAAAGCCUAGCCCAGCGUUCAUGCAGGUUGUCUUUGCCAGUUUUACCAUAUGCAGUGAGUUCUCAUUUUCAAUUGAAGCAGCUUCUUUAUAUGGCAGUUUAGGCCACAAAAUGUUCUAAUUCCUUAGAUCCUUCCUACCUUAGCAAGUGAAUUGCUGAACUCGACCAAUAAUAUGUAACCCAAGUCAACUAAAGGAACUUAUUAUAGAAGUAACACCAAGGUAAGAAAAUAAGGUAAUUCUGCUUGCCAUGGCAUGUCAUGCUGGACUGCUUGCUUUGCUUCCUCAGCCGGUAAUGGGGGUGAGAUAUUAAGAGUCACUACAAUUUGAGGUAAAUUUAAUCUAGAUUGUUGCUGAAUUUCUGUGUCUUACACUCGACGCAAAUGAAAGUUAACCAACGCACAGUGACCUUUGAGUUGUAACUUAUUCCUGGUGAUGAUAUUUGCAAUUGCUAUGUGUACUCAUUGACUUAUGAUCUGCAACUAGAAUUCCAUUUUCAGACUUAUGAUGUAUACUCAUUGCAGGGAAAGGAAGGUGAGAAAAAUAAAAUUUCAAACAAGUUGCUGAGUGUCUAGUGCAUUCUGGCUGAUAUAGAUUCUGAAAGAUGUAUUCAAUUGUGGCUCUGGUAAAGUACAAUAUCUGAUGGGAAAUCCUCUCAAGCAGGAACUGUGCCAUAUUUUUCAUAAAGAUGAGAUCUUCCUCCAAAAUGUACAUAAGGUUUCCCAAGGUGCAGUACUUGGAAUCUGGUAACUCCCUGAUGUAUGUUGUUGGAAUCCAGCAUAGAUGUCUUUCAGAAUUCAUAUUUCAACAAGCUUUCCUGUUUGUGCAUUUGUUACUUUUGAGUUAUCUAGAAGCUGCAAAUCUGCAGUAUCCUAUUGGUUUGGAUGGGACUUAAAAGAAGCUGUCCAUGACCUUACGGGACUCUAGUUAUUUUAUUCCAAAAGCAAUAUGUGGUAGGGAGCACUUGCCGUCCU